UGGUUUUGAUGCCUCGCCCUAUACAUCAGAUCUAGAUGUUCCCUCAUCAGUUGAUACGAGUAUCACCUCUCCAGAGCCCAAAUCAGUUGAUACGAGUAGUAUCACCUCUCCCAUUCCUUCAGACUCCCAAGCACCUGCCCAUCCCACUCCAUAGCCCAGCCACCCACUCUCAUGUACCAUAUGGCCAUCCCAGUAAGCAAGCCAACCACUAGAAUUUGACUGGCAUGCACCUGUGACUUACAUAAACCAGACCUCUACAUAGCCUACAUGUCUUCAUUUUGCUGAAGGUAAGGAAUUCUCAGUUGUGUUUAAUGUUUGCAUACGUACAAUAAAUUUUGUACACCUAAGUGGUUACAUACUGUCCUUUAAUAUUAAUUCUUCAU
This is a long non-coding RNA of Macrobrachium nipponense, 383 nucleotides long. RefSeq lists it as uncharacterized. The transcript is spliced from 4 exons. The record is from RefSeq and is a predicted model, not a curated record. NCBI's taxonomy places the organism in Eukaryota, Metazoa, Arthropoda, Malacostraca, Decapoda, Palaemonidae.